GCCAACAUGGCAUAAUGGUUUGAGCAUUAGACUACAACUCAGGAGACCAGGGUUCAAAUCCCAGCUCAGCCA
Phrynosoma platyrhinos (Desert horned lizard) is the source of this 72-nucleotide non-coding RNA. NCBI's taxonomy places the organism in Eukaryota, Metazoa, Chordata, Lepidosauria, Squamata, Phrynosomatidae. The record is from the annotation of a GenBank genome assembly.